CCUACGGGUGGCUGCAGUGGGGAAUAUUGCACAAUGGGGGGAACCCUGAUGCAGCGACGCCGCGUGAGUGAAGAAGUAUUUCGGUAUGUAAAGCUCUAUCAGCAGGGAAGAAAAUGACGGUACCUGACUAAGAAGCCCCGGCUAACUACGUGCCAGCAGCCGCGGUAAUACGUAGGGGGCAAGCGUUAUCCGGAUUUACUGGGUGUAAAGGGAGCGCAGACGGCUGUGCAAGUCUGGAGUGAAAGGCGGGGGCCCAACCCCCGGACUGCUCUGGAAACUGUAAAGCUGGAGUGCAGGAGAGGUAAGCGGAAUUCCUAGUGUAGCGGUGAAAUGCGUAGAUAUUGCGCAGAACUCCGAUUGCGAAGGUAGCAUGCCGGCUCCACACUGACGCUGAGGCACGAAAGCGUGGGUAUCGAACAGGAUUAGAUACCCCUGUAGUC
This 440-nucleotide ribosomal RNA is filed under the name uncultured bacterium. RNAcentral's name for it is "partial 16S ribosomal RNA". It matches the Rfam family "Bacterial small subunit ribosomal RNA", at positions 338 to 795 of the family's 1533-position model. The record is from RNAcentral.